Saccostrea cuccullata (small rock oyster) is the source of this 803-nucleotide long non-coding RNA. RefSeq lists it as uncharacterized. The record is from RefSeq and is a predicted model, not a curated record. The transcript is spliced from 9 exons. NCBI's taxonomy places the organism in Eukaryota, Metazoa, Mollusca, Bivalvia, Ostreida, Ostreidae.
CAAAACGUGAUAACACGUUGUAUAAUAGCUUCUUGAACAAGAGUAACUCUUAAAGUACAGCCGAAAAGAUGCUUCGCAAGUCAGAGCUAUUUUCUCCACCAAGAUCCCCAACAGAGAGGGAAAAACGCAUCAUUCAGGAAACGAUGCUGAAAGAAAUUAAGGCAAUACAAGAAACUUUGCAAAAAGGUGAAAUAGAUGCAGAGUAUAUUCGAGAAUCCGACAGAAGAUAUUGUACACAAGUGGCCACAAGGGUGACCAGAUCCAUCUAUAUGGGAUAUAAUGAAAAACUGGAAUUUAAGAACGCUUAUUGAGAGGAUCCAGUGGAAACGGAUCCUCGUCUCCCGAAAGAAGGGGAAUGGGAAAAAAUAACGACACUGGAAAAAAAGAAAGCAACUGAGGACAAAACAAAAGCCGAAAAAAUACUUGGUGAAACAUUUAUUGUGUUUGAGCCAGUAAAAGUUCGCAAAGUUAGGGUGACGAUUGAAGAGGAAAUUUUCUACAUAAUCAAGGUCAUCAUUCAUCACUUCCAUCCGAUCAUUUGCAUACCCUAUGAACGAAGUGGAUGUAAUGGAAAGCCAGUGGGUAUUGCCCUGAGGUCACUGUCAAUGAAGGAUCCAUUUCCUUGGGACGAAGAGGAAAAAUCCAUGCCUGGCGGUUGGUAUCCUUCACGUCCAGCUGAUCGGGAUAUACAGAAGAUGAUAGAUAAGUUCAAAACCAAGGCUGAAAAGGAACGGAACACAGUCUUUGAAACAUUCAAAGCUGUGACUUAUCAAACACAAGUUGUUGACGGAGUCAACUAUUCA